This is a non-coding RNA of Pelobates cultripes (western spadefoot toad), 336 nucleotides long. The record is from the annotation of a GenBank genome assembly. NCBI's taxonomy places the organism in Eukaryota, Metazoa, Chordata, Amphibia, Anura, Pelobatidae.
GUGGAAGCAGCGGUGGAGGAAAAGGAGGUAGCCAACACUGUUUAUAUAUAUCUAUUUUUUACUUUAAUUGGGGUAGCCCCCAAAAUAUAAGUUGCACAGGCACUUUGUUGACUCUAGAGAACCUCGGGCCAAUUGCACAUCCCCGUGACGGCGACUUUGCAUUCGGAUGUCAUCCAUUUCAACUUUCGAUGCCAGUUUCUGCGCCUACCAUGGUGACCACGGGUAACGGGGAAUCAGGGUUUCAAUUCCAUACAGGGACCCUGAGAAACGGCUACCACAUGUAAGGAAGGCAGCAGGCGCGCAAAUGACCCACUCCCGAUGUGGGAAGGUAGUGAC